GAUGAACGCUGGCGGCGUGCUUAACACAUGCAAGUCGAACGAUGAAGCCCAGCUUGCCGGGUGGAUUCGUGGCGAACGGGUGAGUAACACGUGAGUAACCUGCCCUUAACUCUGGGAUAAGCCUGGGAAACUGGGUCUAAUACCGGAUAGGAGCGUCCACCGCAUGGCGGGUGUUGGAAAGAUUUAUCGGUUUUGGAUGGACUCGCGGCCUAUCAGCUUGUUGGUGAGGUAAUGGCUCACCAAGGCGACGACGGGUAGCCGGCCUGAGAGGGUGACCGGCCACCAUGGGACUGAGGCACGGCCCAGAAUGCUACGGGAGGCAGCAGUGGGGAAUAUUGCACAAUGGGCGCAAGCCUGAUGCAGCGACGCCGCGUGAGGGAUGACGGCCUUCGGGUUGUAAACCUCUUUCAGUAGGGAAGAAGCGAAAGUGACGGUACCUGCAGAAGAAGCACCGGCUAACUACGUG
This 466-nucleotide ribosomal RNA is filed under the name uncultured bacterium. RNAcentral's name for it is "partial 16S ribosomal RNA". It matches the Rfam family "Bacterial small subunit ribosomal RNA", at positions 28 to 507 of the family's 1533-position model. The record is from RNAcentral.